GUUUCCAUUCCUUAUAGGUAUUCUACAAAC
RNAcentral lists this non-coding RNA (30 nucleotides) under Novibacillus thermophilus. The record is from RNAcentral. Lineage: Bacteria; Bacillati; Bacillota; Bacilli; Caryophanales; Thermoactinomycetaceae.